ACAUCGGUAGCACAGUGGUUAGUGCAGUCUGCCGGAAACAGAAAGACACGUGUUCAAUCCCCGUCCGAUGUC
Molecule: transfer RNA, 72 nt
Filed under: Nippostrongylus brasiliensis
Lineage: Eukaryota; Metazoa; Nematoda; Chromadorea; Rhabditida; Heligmosomidae
Rfam family: tRNA
About the family: Transfer RNA (tRNA) molecules are approximately 80 nucleotides in length. Their secondary structure includes four short double-helical elements and three loops (D, anti-codon, and T loops).
Source: Rfam by way of RNAcentral